RNAcentral lists this ribosomal RNA (393 nucleotides) under uncultured bacterium. RNAcentral describes it as "partial 16S ribosomal RNA". It matches the Rfam family "Bacterial small subunit ribosomal RNA", at positions 523 to 918 of the family's 1533-position model. The record is from RNAcentral.
AUACGGAGGAUCCGAGCGUUAUCCGGAUUUAUUGGGUUUAAAGGGAGCGUAGAUGGAUGUUUAAGUCAGUUGUGAAAGUUUGCGGCUCAACCGUAAAAUUGCAGUUGAUACUGGAUAUCUUGAGUGCAGUUGAGGCAGGCGGAAUUCGUGGGGUAGCGGGGAAAUGCUUAGAUAUCACGAAGAACUCCGAUUGCGAAGGCAGCCUGCUAAGCUGCAACUGACAUUGAGGCUCGAAAGUGUGGGUAUCAAACAGGAUUAGAUACCCUGGUAGUCCACACGGUAAACGAUGAAUACUCGCUGUUUGCGAUAUACUGCAAGCGGCCAAGCGAAAGCGUUAAGUAUUCCACCUGGGGAGUACGCCGGCAACGGUGAAACUCAAAGGAAUUGACGGGG